CCUGAUGGAGGGGGAUAACUACUGGAAACGGUAGCUAAUACCGCAUAACGUCGCAAGACCAAAGAGGGGGACCUUCGGGCCUCUUGCCAUCGGAUGUGCCCAGAUGGGAUUAGCUAGUAGGUGGGGUAACGGCUCACCUAGGCGACGAUCCCUAGCUGGUCUGAGAGGAUGACCAGCCACACUGGAACUGAGACACGGUCCAGACUCCUACGGGAGGCAGCAGUGGGGAAUAUUGCACAAUGGGCGCAAGCCUGAUGCAGCCAUGCCGCGUGUAUGAAGAAGGCCUUCGGGUUGUAAAGUACUUUCAGCGGGGAGGAAGGGAGUAAAGUUAAUACCUUUGCUCAUUGACGUUACCCGCAGAAGAAGCACCGGCUAACUCCGUGCCAGCAGCCGCGGUAAUACGGAGGGUGCAAGCGUUAAUCGGAAUUACUGGGCGCAAAGCGCACGCAGGCGGUUUGUUAAGUCAGAUGUGAAAUCCCCGGGCUCAACCUGGGAACUGCAUCUGAUACUGGCAAGCUUGAGUCUCGUAGAGGGGGGUAGAA
Molecule: ribosomal RNA, 542 nt
Filed under: uncultured Pseudomonadota bacterium
Lineage: Bacteria; Pseudomonadati; Pseudomonadota
Description: bacterial SSU rRNA
Rfam family: Bacterial small subunit ribosomal RNA
Source: RNAcentral